CCCGACAUCUGAUUCCCAAAGUGGGAAUGACUUCCCGACAAGGAGGAAGAACAAAACACAUAGCCGACACCGAUAGUCUGGAUACUGGAUAGUUGUCAGAGCGUUUGUAAGUCAGUGGAUGUUCUCACAGAGCUGAAGGAGAUAAAACCUUUUGUUACGUUUAUUAUGAGAAAAGUAGAAGCGAUCGAAUUAUCAAUAAUAAAUGUUGCUUCGGAACCGAAACCAACAUUGUAGUUGCCUAAAUUACCUCUGACUCAAAUAAGCGAACUCGUGAACAUGGAGGCGAUGCUAGGCGAGGAAAACGUUCGAUCGCAAUUGUUUGAUAUGCUAAGGCAUACACGAAGAAUCAAAGAACGGGACUGUAUCAACCGCUGUCUGGAAAAAAUCUCGGAUUACUUGGGGCAGUAAUUGCUCUUGGACGGGGAAAAAAACAAUUUCAGAUUGUCUUCCCCAAAGCUGAUGAAUGUUAUAAAACUUUGAUAUGCUAAGGCAUACAGGAGGAAGCGAAGGAACGGGACUGCGUCAACCGCUGUCUGGAAAAAAUCUUGGACGGGAAAAAAAGCAAUUUCAAAUUGUCUUCCUCAAUGCUGAUGAUGUUAUAAAACGUGCUGUAAGGCAGACAUUUCCAAACGUUACAGAUGAUAUGGUUUCAACAUGGUGGGACCCGAAUUAAGCGACAAUAAUUAGUAACAAGAAACAAUUAUUUUUAAAUGCAGGUGAUGGAUGAUGACAAAACCUUAAACUAGUAGAAUUUAUUAAAUACAAGACAUACGUUUAAGUUUCCAAACACUAAAUCGGAGUAACCAGCGUGGUUCAAAUUUGUAGCGUAGUUGAGCAAUUUUAGUUUUUAAGUUUUGCUUCCCGUGUUUCUUAUUAUUGUGAUAUAGUCCGAGUUCUUAACCAAAUGUACAGUCCGGUCUGGCAGAAAGCAUGAAACUUGGCAUGUAUAUAGCUUAUAGGUUUAUAAGAAAAUAUGGAAGUAGAAACACGCCGAGGUGUCAAUGUUUCCCCUCUUUCCCCCCACUUUUGUA
Molecule: long non-coding RNA, 1031 nt
Organism: Leguminivora glycinivorella
Lineage: Eukaryota; Metazoa; Arthropoda; Insecta; Lepidoptera; Tortricidae
Exons: 5
Source: RefSeq, a predicted model, not a curated record